RNAcentral lists this small nuclear RNA (152 nucleotides) under Jaculus jaculus (lesser Egyptian jerboa). RNAcentral's name for it is "U1 spliceosomal RNA (ENSJJAG00000002082.1)". It matches the Rfam family "U1 spliceosomal RNA". From Rfam's summary of the family: U1 is a small nuclear RNA (snRNA) component of the spliceosome (involved in pre-mRNA splicing). Its 5' end forms complementary base pairs with the 5' splice junction, thus defining the 5' donor site of an intron. The record is from Rfam by way of RNAcentral. Lineage: Eukaryota; Metazoa; Chordata; Mammalia; Rodentia; Dipodidae.
AUACUUACUUGGCAGGAGAGAUGCCAUGAUCACAGAGGUUUGUCAAGGGUGAGGCUUAUCCACUGCACUCUGGAUGUGCUGGCCCCCGCGAUCUCCCCAAAUACGGGAAACUCCACUGUGGUAGUGGGGGACCGCAUUCACGCUCUCUCCUG